This 97-nucleotide ribosomal RNA is filed under the name uncultured bacterium. Its description in RNAcentral is "partial 16S ribosomal RNA". It matches the Rfam family "Bacterial small subunit ribosomal RNA", at positions 1388 to 1482 of the family's 1533-position model. The record is from RNAcentral.
CACCGCCCGUCACAUCACGAAAGCGGACUGUACUAGAAGUCGCCGCGCUAACCCGCAAGGGAGGCAGGCGCUCAAGGUAUGGUCCGUGAUUGGGGUG